UGAGGGAAAGGUGAAAAGAACCCCGGGAGGGGAGUGAAAUAGAAACUGAAACCGUAUGCUUACAAAAAGUUCGAGCACAUUAAUGUGUGAGAGCGUGCCUUUUGCAGAAUGAACCGGCGAGUUAUUGUAUUAUGCAAGGUUAAGUCGAACAGAUGGAGCCGAAGCGAAAGCGAGUCUGAAUAGGGCGCUUAAGUAUGAUGCAAUAGACCCGAAACCGAGUGAUCUAGCCAUGAGCAGGUUGAAGUUGGGGUAAGACCCAAUGGAGGACCGAACCGAUAUGCCCGGAAACGCGUACGGAUGACUUGUGGUUAGCGGAGAAAUUCCAAACGAACUCGGAGAUAGCUGGUUCUCCCCGAAAUAGGUUUAGGCCUAGCCUUGAUUGAAUCUGCCCGGAGGUAGAGCACUGAAUGUGCGAUGGCGUCGUCUAGAUGUACUGAGUACAAUCAAACUCCGAAUGCUGGGUAGUACUAAUCAGGAGUCACUGUAUGGGUGAUAACGUCCAUACGGGAGAGGAAAAGAAUCCGGAUCGCCAGCUAAGGUCCCAAAAUUUGUGUUAAGUGGGAAAGGAUGUAGAGUUGUCAAAACAGCUAGGAGGUUGGCUUAGAAGCAGCCACCCUUUAAAGAGUGCGUAAUAGCUCACUAGUCGAGUGACACUGCGCCGAAGAUGUACCGGGGCUAAACACAAUACCGAAGCUGCGGACUUGCAUGUAAGUGCAAGUGGUAGGGGAGCGUUCUAAGGGCUGUGAAGGUAGACCGUAAGGACUGCUGGAGCGCUUAGAAGUGAGAAUGCCGGUGUGAGUAACGAAAAUUGGGUGAGAAUCCCAUUCACCGUUUGACUAAGGGUUCCUGGGUAAAGUUCGUCUUCCCAGGGUAAGUCAGGACCUAAGAUGAGGCUGAAAAGCGUAGUCGAUGGACAACAGGUUGAUAUUCCUGUACCACCUAUAUGACUGAAGGAGUGACGGAGAAAGCUAGUGAGAGCCAGUUAAUGGAUUCUGGUCUAAGUGCGUAGGCUAGUAUGUUGGCAAAUCCGCAAUACUAUAACAGCUGAAACAUGAUGGGGAAGAGAGUCUUCGGACAAUCGAACUUUCAUGAUGCUAUGCUUCCAAGAAAAGCUUCUAGGGUUAAUCGUAUAGGUGCCUGUACCGACAACCGACACAGGUGGUCAAGGAGAGUAUCCUAAGGUGAGCGAGAGAACUAUGGUUAAGGAACUCGGCAAAAUGACCCCGUAACUUCGGGAGAAGGGGUGGUCUAGCGAUAGACCCGCAGUGAAUAGGCCCAGGCAACUGUUUACCAAAAACACAGGUCUCUGCUAACACGUAAGUGGAUGUAUAGGGGCUGACGCCUGCCCAGUGCUGGAAGGUUAAAGAGAUUAGUUAGUAUGACGUAAGUCGAUAAUACGAAGCUUUGAACUGAAGCCCCAGUGAACGGCGGCCGUAACUAUAACGGUCCUAAGGUAGCGAAAUUCCUUGUCAGGUAAGUUCUGACCCGCACGAAUGGUGUAACGAUUUGGGCACUGUCUCAACAACCUACCCGGCGAAAUUGUAGUACCGGUGAAGAUGCCGGUUACCCGCGACUAGACGGAAAGACCCCAUGGAGCUUCACUGUAGCUUAAUAUUGAAUUUUGGUAUUUCAUGUACAGGAUAGGUGGGAGACUGGGAAAUACAGGCGUCAGCUUGUAUGGAGUCACUGUUGGGAUACCACUCUUGAGGUGCUGAAAUUCUAACCUGCGUCUUUGAAUCAAGACGGGGGACAUUGUUAGGUGGGCAGUUUGACUGGGGCGGUCG
Molecule: ribosomal RNA, 1784 nt
Filed under: human gut metagenome
Description: bacterial LSU rRNA
Rfam family: Bacterial large subunit ribosomal RNA
Source: RNAcentral